This 91-nucleotide ribosomal RNA is filed under the name Tetranychus urticae (two-spotted spider mite). The record is from RNAcentral. Lineage: Eukaryota; Metazoa; Arthropoda; Arachnida; Trombidiformes; Tetranychidae.
GUCUACGACCAUACCAGACUGAAAACACCGGAUCCCAUCCGAUCUCCGGAGUUAAGCAGCUAAGUCUAAGCUUAUAAAGGUUUAGAAGACA